CCCUUAGAUGUUCUGGGCUGCACGCGCGCGACAAUGACGUUUGCAACGAGAUACGAGACCGAAAGGUUAAGUUGAUCUAGCAAGCUGCGUCGUGAUAGGGACUGUCGAUUGCAAUUAUUCGACACGAACGAGGAAUUCCUUGUAAUCGCACAUCAUCAGUGUGCGCUGAAUACGUCCCCGCCCUUUGUACACACCGCCCGUCGCUCCUACCGAUCGAGUGAUCCGGUGAAUGUUUUGGAUCGGUUGCAAGUUGCGCGACGCGCUUCUUGCAUGCUGUGAAAUCAUGUAAGCCUUAUUGCUUAGAGGAAGGAGAAGUCGUAACA
This 323-nucleotide ribosomal RNA is filed under the name uncultured eukaryote. RNAcentral's name for it is "partial 18S ribosomal RNA". It matches the Rfam family "Eukaryotic small subunit ribosomal RNA", at positions 1470 to 1796 of the family's 1831-position model. The record is from RNAcentral.